Molecule: ribosomal RNA, 1332 nt
Filed under: uncultured bacterium
Lineage: Bacteria
Description: bacterial SSU rRNA
Rfam family: Bacterial small subunit ribosomal RNA
Source: RNAcentral
GACGAACGCUGGCGGCACGCUUAACACAUGCAAGUCGAACGAGAGAAGAGAAGCUUGCUUUUCUGAUCUAGUGGCGGACGGGUGAGUAACACGUGAGCAAUCUGCCUUUCAGAGGGGGAUACCGAUUGGAAACGACCGUUAAUACCGCAUAACAUAAUUGAACCGCAUGAUUUGAUUAUCAAAGAUUUAUCGCUGAAAGAUGAGCUCGCGUCUGAUUAGCUAGUUGGUAAGGUAACGGCUUACCAAGGCGACGAUCAGUAGCCGGACUGAGAGGUUGAUCGGCCACAUUGGGACUGAGACACGGCCCAGACUCCUACGGGAGGCAGCAGUGGGGAAUAUUGCACAAUGGAGGAAACUCUGAUGCAGCGAUGCCGCGUGAGGGAAGAAGGUUUUAGGAUUGUAAACCUCUGUCUUCAGGGACGAAAAAUGACGGUACCUGAGGAGGAAGCUCCGGCUAACUACGUGCCAGCAGCCGCGGUAAUACGUNAGGAGCGAGCGUUGUCCGGGAAUACUGGGUGUAAGGGAGCGUAGGCGGGAUCGCAAGUCAGAUGUGAAAACUAUGGGCUUAACCCAUAAACUGCAUUUGAAACUGUGGUUCUUGAGUGAAGUAGAGGUAAGCGGAAUUCCUAGUGUAGCGGUGAAAUGCGUAGAUAUUAGGAGGAACAUCAGUGGCGAAGGCGGCUUACUGGGCUUUAACUGACGCUGAGGCUCGAAAGCGUGGGGAGCAAACAGGAUUAGAUACCCUGGUAGUCCACGCCGUAAACGAUGAUUACUAGGUGUGGGGGGACUGACCCCUUCCGUGCCGCAGCAAACGCAAUAAGUAAUCCACCUGGGGAGUACGACCGCAAGGUUGAAACUCAAAGGAAUUGACGGGGGCCCGCACAAGCAGUGGAGUAUGUGGAUUAAUUCGAAGCAACGCGAAGAACCUUACCAGGUCUUGACAUCGUAUGCAUAGCUCAGAGAUGAGUGAAAUCUCUUCGGAGACAUAUAGACAGGUGGUGCAUGGUUGUCGUCAGCUCGUGUCGUGAGAUGUUGGGUUAAGUCCCGCAACGAGCGCAACCCUUACUGUUAGUUGCUACGCAAGAGCACUCUAGCAGGACUGCCGUUGACAAAACGGAGGAAGGUGGGGAUGACGUCAAAUCAUCAUGCCCCUUAUGACCUGGGCCUCACACGUACUACAAUGGCUGUCAACAGAGGGAAGCAAAGCCGCGAGGUGGAGCGAAUCCCUAAAAGCAGUCUUAGUUCGGAUUGUAGGCUGCAACCCGCCUACAUGAAGUCGGAAUUGCUAGUAAUCGCAGAUCAGCAUGCUGCGGUGAAUACGUUCCCGGGCCU